Helianthus annuus (common sunflower) is the source of this 520-nucleotide long non-coding RNA. RefSeq lists it as uncharacterized. Lineage: Eukaryota; Viridiplantae; Streptophyta; Magnoliopsida; Asterales; Asteraceae. The record is from RefSeq and is a predicted model, not a curated record. The transcript has 2 exons.
AUGAACAUAUCUCCUAACAAUAAAAGGUGAUAAAAAUCAAAAUCCAUGUUAUUUAACCCUUGACUAGCCUAGUUGCUGUUCAUCAUCAACUUCUCUCUUUCUCUCUCUAAAACAGACCGUCAUCAUCAUCCAUUAAGGUCACAGCAUGGGAAGCAAGACAGACACAUGGUCUGAUCAAUGGGGAACAGGUGUGUUCGACAAUGACGAAAAAGAUUAUGAAAAACAGAAUAACAAGAGCAACAACAAGAAGAUGGACCAAGUGAAGGCGGUUGCAUCAACCGGAUUAGUGAAGGCGAAAUCUGCAGCCAUUGUUGGAGCUCAUAAAGUGAAGAAAGGUACCUCCACUGGUUUCAAAUGGAUCAAGAACAAAUGCUCAUCUUCUAAGUGAACAUAUUUUCAUCAUCGUCGUUCCAUCUUGCUUUUAUAUCAAAUGAUUUCGUUUUCAGUUUACAAGGACUCUAUACAUUGCAGAACACAUAUGGAUGAUUGAUUAACUAGUUCAGUUUUCACAUAACCUUUA